This is a long non-coding RNA of Morus notabilis, 563 nucleotides long. RefSeq lists it as uncharacterized. NCBI's taxonomy places the organism in Eukaryota, Viridiplantae, Streptophyta, Magnoliopsida, Rosales, Moraceae. The transcript is spliced from 3 exons. The record is from RefSeq and is a predicted model, not a curated record.
UCUUCUUCUUCUCAGACUCUCUCACCCUUUCGAACCCUCAUGUCAGCCUCCUCCGCUGUGAUUCCGCCAAUAGGUUCAGAAUCCCAAUUGACAAUUGCUUCUUUCACGUCCAAGAGGAAAAGAAAAGGGUUACUAGGAUACCAGAUGCAAUUCAAAUUUGCCACACAGCAGGGGACACAGUCAAACGUCCAGGCCCAACCCUCCCAGCCCGCAAAACUGAACCUACCGAGGUAACUCGAAGGGUUACGGGUUUGUGAGCCAAAUAUAGUGAUGCGGCCCAAAUUUUCCUCACUUCUAAUGUGGUGGCUCAGCCCGCAAAACGGAUGCUUUUAGGCCCAACCUGAGCCUACCCAGCCUACUUACACCUCUAAAAUGAAUAGCACUUCUAUUCGGGAUCCGGAUCAGAUGCCAAUACGGAUUAUGAUACGACCAAAUCAAUGCGCGUUUUCCCCUUCAUCACACGUAAUUACGUGUAGAAGAACUCAACAUCUAGAAGAACUCAACAUCACAUUCCAUAUAUAUACAGAACUAGUACGAUCAUUUUCAUGAAUUAUUGUAAAAUC